Molecule: ribosomal RNA, 497 nt
Filed under: uncultured bacterium
Lineage: Bacteria
Description: partial 16S ribosomal RNA
Rfam family: Bacterial small subunit ribosomal RNA
Source: RNAcentral
GAUGAACGCUGGCGGCGUGCCUAAUACAUGCAAGUCGAGCGAACAGAUAAGGAGCUUGCUCCUUUGACGUUAGCGGCGGACGGGUGAGUAACACGUGGGUAACCUACCUAUAAGACUGGUAUAACUCCGGGAAACCGGGGCUAAUGCCGGAGAAGAUUUAGAACCGCAGGGUUCGAAAGUGAAAGAUGGUGGUGCUAGCACUUAUAGAGGGACCCGGGCCGUAUUAGCUAGUUGGUAAGGUAACGGCUUACCAAGGCAAGGAUACGUAGCCGACCUGAGAGGGUGGUCGGCCACACUGGAACUGAGCCACGCUCCAGACUCCUACGGGAGGCAGCAGUCGGGUAUCUUCCGCAAUGGGCGAAAGCCUGACGGAGCGACCCCGCGUGAGUGAUGACGGUCUUCGGUUCGUAAUACUCUGUUAUUGGGUGAGAACCACUGUCUCAGUAACUGUGCACGUCUUGACGGUAACUAAUCAGAAAGCCACGGCUAACUACGUG